AUACGGAGGGUGCAAGCGUUAUCCGGAAUCAUUGGGUUUAAAGGGUCCGCAGGCGGAUUAAUAAGUCAGUGGUGAAAUCCUCUCGCUCAACGAGAGAACUGCCAUUGAAACUGUUAGUCUUGAAUUCGGUCGAAGUAGGCGGAAUGUGUCAUGUAGCGGUGAAAUGCAUAGAUAUGACACAGAACACCGAUAGCGAAGGCAGCUUACUAGACCUGGAUUGACGCUCAUGGACGAAAGCGUGGGGAGCGAACAGGAUUAGAUACCCCUGUAGUCC
Molecule: ribosomal RNA, 274 nt
Filed under: uncultured bacterium
Lineage: Bacteria
Description: partial 16S ribosomal RNA
Rfam family: Bacterial small subunit ribosomal RNA
Source: RNAcentral